RNAcentral lists this long non-coding RNA (298 nucleotides) under Fukomys damarensis (Damara mole-rat). RNAcentral describes it as "lncRNA (ENSFDAG00000031602.1)". The record is from RNAcentral. Lineage: Eukaryota; Metazoa; Chordata; Mammalia; Rodentia; Bathyergidae.
CAACCUUCUCCUAACGCGUAGGUCCCCGGCCGGGUGAACGGCACCUGCGUUUCUUUGGCUUUCAUGAAGAAGAUCAUGAGCCUGAGAAAUGGGAGGGAGAAGAAAAGAAGGAAGGAAGGAGUGAAGGAGAGAGGAAGAGAAAGGAGGAAGAUGGAGAACCAAAAUAAUACAGUAAAUAUAAAUACAAGUAAUACGCUUUCAUCACAGUUGAAACAAAGGACACAGACAGUAUACUUGGCCAGCUGUCCAGAUACAUUUAGAAAGCUUGGCCACAGAAAAUAUCAAUAAAUCUCCAAAG